CCAGCACUUUCAUAGCUCCCCACUUAGCCAGUGGGGCCAGGAUUUGGUAGCUGGUGCUGACAGAAAACCCUUGAUUACAUCCUUGCCCUAAUGCUGUACCAGUGGCAGCUAUCUCUCUAGGGAACAGAU
Molecule: small nucleolar RNA, 129 nt
Organism: Nannospalax galili (Upper Galilee mountains blind mole rat)
Lineage: Eukaryota; Metazoa; Chordata; Mammalia; Rodentia; Spalacidae
Source: Ensembl